UGGUCUAUGGUGUAAUGGUAACACGACAGAUUCUGGCUCUGUAAUUCAAGGUUCGAGUCCUUGUAGACCAACUU
RNAcentral lists this transfer RNA (74 nucleotides) under Capnocytophaga gingivalis ATCC 33624. RNAcentral's name for it is "tRNA-Gln". It matches the Rfam family "tRNA". From Rfam's summary of the family: Transfer RNA (tRNA) molecules are approximately 80 nucleotides in length. Lineage: Bacteria; Pseudomonadati; Bacteroidota; Flavobacteriia; Flavobacteriales; Flavobacteriaceae. The record is from RNAcentral.